Molecule: ribosomal RNA, 323 nt
Filed under: uncultured eukaryote
Lineage: Eukaryota
Description: partial 18S ribosomal RNA
Rfam family: Eukaryotic small subunit ribosomal RNA
Source: RNAcentral
CCCUUAGAUGUCCUGGGCUGCACGCGCGCUACACUGAUGCGUUCAACGAGUACCCCUGACCUGGGAGGGUCGGGUAAUCUUGUCAAAACGCAUCGUGAUGGGGAUAGAUUAUUGUAAUUAUUAAUCUUCAACGAGGAAUUCCUAGUAAGCGUGAGUCAACAGCUCGCGCUGAUUACGUCCCUGCCCUUUGUACACACCGCCCGUCGCUCCUACCGAUUGAGUGAUCCGGUGAGCCAUUCGGACUGCUAGGCCCGAGGUUCGCUGAGGGCCUCAGCGGAAAGUCUUGCAAACCUUAUCACUUAGAGGAAGGAGAAGUCGUAACA